AUGAACGCUGGCGGCGUGCCUAAUACAUGCAAGUCGAGCGAACAGAUAAGGAGCUUGCUCCUUUGACGUUAGCGGCGGACGGGUGAGUAACACGUGGGUAACCUACCUAUAAGACUGGAAUAACUCCGGGAAACCGGGGCUAAUGCCGGAUAAUAUUUAGAACCGCAUGGUUCUAAAGUGAAAGAUGGUUUUGCUAUCACUUAUAGAUGGACCCGCGCCGUAUUAGCUAGUUGGUGGGGUAAUGGCUUACCAAGGCAACGACACGUAGCCGACCUGAGAGGGUGAUCGGCCACACUGGAACUGAGACACGGUCCAGACUCCUACGGGAGGCAGCAGUAGGGAAUCUUCCGCAAUGGGCGAAAGCCUGACGGAGCAACGCCGCGUGAGUGAUGAAGGUCUUCGGAUCGUAAAACUCUGUUAUUAGGGAAGAACAAAUGUGUAAGUAACUGUGCACGUCUUGACGGUACCUAAUCAGAAAGCCACGGCUAACUACGUGCCAGCAGCCG
RNAcentral lists this ribosomal RNA (506 nucleotides) under uncultured bacterium. RNAcentral's name for it is "bacterial SSU rRNA". It matches the Rfam family "Bacterial small subunit ribosomal RNA", at positions 29 to 517 of the family's 1533-position model. The record is from RNAcentral.